RNAcentral lists this ribosomal RNA (500 nucleotides) under uncultured Lachnospiraceae bacterium. RNAcentral describes it as "bacterial SSU rRNA". It matches the Rfam family "Bacterial small subunit ribosomal RNA", at positions 8 to 507 of the family's 1533-position model. The record is from RNAcentral. Lineage: Bacteria; Bacillati; Bacillota; Clostridia; Lachnospirales; Lachnospiraceae.
AGAGUUUGAUCCUGGCUCAGGAUGAACGCUGGCGGCGUGCCUAACACAUGCAAGUCGAGCGAAGCGAUUUUGAGGAAGUUUUCGGAUGGAAUCGAAAUUGACUUAGCGGCGGACGGGUGAGUAACACGUGGGUAAUCUGCCUUAUACAGGGGGAUAACAGUUAGAAAUGACUGCUAAUACCGCAUAAGCGCACGGGAACGCAUGUUUCUGUGUGAAAAACUCCGGUAGUAUAAGAUGAGCCCGCGUCUGAUUAGCUGGUUGGUGGGGUAACGGCCUACCAAGGCGACGAUCAGUAGCCGGCCUGAGAGGGUGAACGGCCACAUUGGGACUGAGACACGGCCCAAACUCCUACGGGAGGCAGCAGUGGGGAAUAUUGCACAAUGGGGGAAACCCUGAUGCAGCGACGCCGCGUGAGUGAAGAAGUAUUUCGGUAUGUAAAGCUCUAUCAGCAGGGAAGAAAAAAGACGGUACCUGACUAAGAAGCCCCGGCUAACUACGUG